AACGAACGCUGGCGGCAUGCCUAACACAUGCAAGUCGAACGAAGCCUUCGGGCUUAGUGGCGCACGGGUUCGUAACGCGUGGGAAUCUGCCCUUUGGUUCGGAAUAACAGUUGGAAACGACUGCUAAUACCGGAUGAUGACGCAAGUCCAAAGAUUUAUAGCCAGAGGAUGUAGGCCGCGUAGGAUUAGCUCGUAGGUGUGGUAAAGGCGCACGAAGGCGACGAUCCUUAGCUGGUCGGAGAGGAUGAUCAGCCACACGAGGACUGAGACACGGUCCAGUCUCCGACGGGAGGAAGCAGUGGGGAAUAUUGGGCAAUGGGCGAAAGACAGAUCCAGCAAUGCCGCGUGAGGGAUGAAGGCCCUAGGGUUGUAAAGGUCUUUUACCCGGGAUGAUAAUGACAGUACCGGGAGAAUAAGCCCCGGCUAACUCCGUGCCAGCAGCCGCCGUAA
This 450-nucleotide ribosomal RNA is filed under the name uncultured bacterium. Its description in RNAcentral is "partial 16S ribosomal RNA". It matches the Rfam family "Bacterial small subunit ribosomal RNA", at positions 29 to 523 of the family's 1533-position model. The record is from RNAcentral.